AUCUACGGCCAUACCACCCUGAACACACCCGAUCUCAUCUGAUCUCGGAAGCUAAGCAGCAUUGGGCCUGGUUAGUACUUGGGUGGGAGAUCGCCUGGGAAUACCAGGUGCUGUAGGCA
This is a ribosomal RNA of Saimiri boliviensis boliviensis (Bolivian squirrel monkey), 119 nucleotides long. Lineage: Eukaryota; Metazoa; Chordata; Mammalia; Primates; Cebidae. The record is from Ensembl.